This 245-nucleotide ribosomal RNA is filed under the name uncultured bacterium. RNAcentral's name for it is "partial 16S ribosomal RNA". It matches the Rfam family "Bacterial small subunit ribosomal RNA", at positions 524 to 768 of the family's 1533-position model. The record is from RNAcentral.
UACGUAGGGGGCGAGCGUUAUCCGGAAUAAUUGGGCGUAAAGCGCAUGCAGGCGGUCAGCCAAGUUCAUGCCGACAAUUCCCGGCUUAACCGGGAAAGGUGUGUGAAUACUCGUUGACUUGAGAGCGAGAGAGGGACACGGAAUUCCAGGUGGAGCAGUGAAAUGCGUAGAGAUCUGGAGGAACACCAAUGGCGAAGGCAGUGUCCUGGCUCGUUUCUGACGCUCAGAUGCGAAAGCCAGGGGAG